ACUGCUCUGAGAGGCGUUACAGGUGUGGCUGCCAUGUCACAUUUGCCUCAGUAGGUGACAGAGAGGAGAAAGGUUAUGUCUACACUGUGUUCUCACCUGUGAACAUUUGAAUGAGUAGUAGCUUGAUGCU
Rattus norvegicus (Norway rat) is the source of this 130-nucleotide small nucleolar RNA. Ensembl annotates it as small nucleolar RNA SNORA17. The record is from Ensembl. NCBI's taxonomy places the organism in Eukaryota, Metazoa, Chordata, Mammalia, Rodentia, Muridae.